This 434-nucleotide ribosomal RNA is filed under the name uncultured bacterium. Its description in RNAcentral is "partial 16S ribosomal RNA". It matches the Rfam family "Bacterial small subunit ribosomal RNA", at positions 29 to 507 of the family's 1533-position model. The record is from RNAcentral.
AGCGAACGCUGGCGGCAGGCCUAACACAUGCAAGUCGAACGAACCUUUCGGGGUUAGUGGCGGACGGGUGAGUAACCCGUGGGAACGUGCCUUUAGGUUCGGAAUAACUCAGGGGAACUUGUGCUAAUACCGAAUGUGCCCUUCGGGGGAAAGAUUAAUCGCCUUUAGAGCGGCCCGCGUCUGAUUAGCUAGUUGGUUGAGGUAAUGGCUCACCAAGGCGACGAUCAGUAGCUGGUCUGAGAGGAUGAUCAGCCACAUUGGGACUGAGACACGGCCCAAACUCCUACGGGAGGCAGCAGUGGGGAAUCUUGCGCAAUGGGCGAAAGCCUGACGCAGCCAUGCCGCGUGAAUGAUGAAGGUCUUAGGAUUGUAAAAUUCUUUCACCGGGGACGAUAAUGACGGUACCCGGAGAAGAAGCCCCGGCUAACUUCGUG